UCUAUGGUCAUACCAACCUGAAUGUGCCUGAUCUCGUCAAAUCUUGGAAGCUAAGCAGGGUCGGGUCUGGGUAGUACUUGGAUGGGAGAAGCGAAUGUUUAGACCACUUCUAGAG
RNAcentral lists this ribosomal RNA (115 nucleotides) under Microcebus murinus (gray mouse lemur). Lineage: Eukaryota; Metazoa; Chordata; Mammalia; Primates; Cheirogaleidae. The record is from RNAcentral.